Dermochelys coriacea (leatherback sea turtle) is the source of this 707-nucleotide long non-coding RNA. RefSeq lists it as uncharacterized. The record is from RefSeq and is a predicted model, not a curated record. NCBI's taxonomy places the organism in Eukaryota, Metazoa, Chordata, Testudines, Dermochelyidae. The transcript is spliced from 2 exons.
GGCUGGAGGACAAAGCUUUAGCCCAGAUGGAUUAUUGAUAUGUAUGGGACAACUGGGCUGAUGCGCGUGCAAAAGGACAUCCUCUUUCCUCCUCCUUUUCUUAUUUAUCUCAAGGGUCUCCAGCCCCGCUCUGUGCUAUGCCUGCUUCUGCCCCUCCUCUGGCUUACCCUCGGCUUUCUGACCUACGCCCAGGACCAGUUGCAAGCCUUAAGACAGGACUUCCAGGCAGAAAAGGAAGCACUGGCUAAGCAAGUACCAGUCCUUCAGAGACUUGUCAAAAUGUAAUCAUUUGUGCUCAGCAUACGCCGUAACAGCAGUGUGUCUGCCAUAAGAGGAAAUUAAAUAGUUAAACCGCCAAUUGGCCAUGCAUUCUGUCCGGGUGACAAGCCUCAUGGGGGAGGACUCGGGUAGCCCUUGUAAAAGAAGUCCUGCUCCAAGGAUCCUGAGCAAGCCUGCCAUUUGUUAAAACCAGGUGACUGGGUCUACAUAAAGGUCCAUCAACGAAAGACUACUCUGGCCCCAUGCUGGAAAGGCCCUUAUUAAGUCCUGCUAACUACCAACACCGCUGUGAAGUGCCAAGGACUGACUGCCUGGACCCAUGCUUCUUAUUGUUAAAAGACCCCUCCACCUCAAGAUGACUUCACUUCGACUACUGCUCAGCCUGUCCCUCCUUCUGGGUUUUUUCUUUCCUCCUUUUGGACAGCAGG